Molecule: ribosomal RNA, 420 nt
Filed under: Ligilactobacillus salivarius
Lineage: Bacteria; Bacillati; Bacillota; Bacilli; Lactobacillales; Lactobacillaceae
Description: bacterial SSU rRNA
Rfam family: Bacterial small subunit ribosomal RNA
Source: RNAcentral
GCGGCGUGCCUAAUACAUGCAAGUCGAACGAAACUUUCUUACACCGAAUGCUUGCAUUUCAUCGUAAGAAGUUGAGUGGCGGACGGGUGAGUAACACGUGGGUAACCUGCCUAAAAGAAGGGGAUAACACUUGGAAACAGGUGCUAAUACCGUAUAUCUCUAAGGAUCGCAUGAUCCUUAGAUGAAAGAUGGUUCUGCUAUCGCUUUUAGAUGGACCCGCGGCGUAUUAACUAGUUGGUGGGGUAACGGCCUACCAAGGUGAUGAUACGUAGCCGAACUGAGAGGUUGAUCGGCCACAUUGGGACUGAGACACGGCCCAAACUCCUACGGGAGGCAGCAGUAGGGAAUCUUCCACAAUGGACGCAAGUCUGAUGGAGCAACGCCGCGUGAGUGAAGAAAGGUCUUUCGGAUCGUAAAAAC